RNAcentral lists this transfer RNA (541 nucleotides) under uncultured cyanobacterium. RNAcentral describes it as "partial contains 16S ribosomal RNA, 16S-23S ribosomal RNA intergenic spacer, and 23S ribosomal RNA". The stretch from base 212 to 284 matches the Rfam family "tRNA". The record is from RNAcentral. Lineage: Bacteria; Bacillati; Cyanobacteriota.
CAGGGAGACAACAAAAUGUUUAAUAUUAUUAUUUUGUCACCUUAGGUCGAUCGGUAUCUCACGUUUUUAAUUUAUUAAGAAUUUCAUUUCCUAAGUUUUUCUAGGUCACACCCAUUAUUUUUCCUGGGCCAUUAGCUCAGGUGGUUAGAGCGCACCCCUGGUAAGGGUGAGGUCCCUGGUUCAAGUCCAGGAUGGCCCAUAUCUCUAUGUUGGGGGUAUAGCUCAGUUGGUAGAGCGCCUGCUUUGCAAGCAGGAUGUCAGCGGUUCGAGUCCGCUUACCUCCACUGAUUACCACCUCUUUCAUAUCCGGUAGAAAGGAAAUGUAUUGAGUUGUGAUCAAAUUCUGAAAGAAUCUAGCUUCCUAAUAAAAUUAUUAAGAUGCUGGACUCAUUGAAUUAAUUUCAUUGGUUUCAGAGAACCUUGACAACUGCAUAGAUUAUUUUUAAAGACAAUAAGCAUCUUUAAUGAUGCAGAUUUAUUAUUUGUGCGAAUGCAUUAAUAACAAUUCUAUUAAGCUGAUGCUUCAAUUUUUGAAGUUAUU